This is a long non-coding RNA of Mauremys reevesii (Reeves's turtle), 186 nucleotides long. RefSeq lists it as uncharacterized. NCBI's taxonomy places the organism in Eukaryota, Metazoa, Chordata, Testudines, Geoemydidae. The transcript has 3 exons. The record is from RefSeq and is a predicted model, not a curated record.
AUGUCUCCAAGUUCUCCUGGAGUAGUUCCUACUAUCCAAUAAUUUCAGCCUCUGAAGAGGAAAGAUCUUCUGACUCCAGCACACCCAGGCUUCAGAGAGUGAUUUCUUCUCUUUGUGUAUGCACACUGAUGACAGAGGACUGUAAUGCAGCCCUAGAUUAGCAACAACCUGCAGUCUGACUUGAAC